GAUGAACGCUGGCGGCGUGCCUAAUACAUGCAAGUCGAGCGAACAGACGAGGAGCUUGCUCCUCUGACGUUAGCGGCGGACGGGUGAGUAACACGUGGAUAACCUACCUAUAAGACUGGGAUAACUUCGGGAAACCGGAGCUAAUACCGGAUAAUAUAUUGAACCGCAUGGUUCAAUAGUGAAAGACGGUUUUGCUGUCACUUAUAGAUGGAUCCGCGCCGCAUUAGCUAGUUGGUAAGGUAACGGCUUACCAAGGCAACGAUGCGUAGCCGACCUGAGAGGGUGAUCGGCCACACUGGAACUGAGACACAGUCCAGACUCCUACGGGAGGCAGCAGUAGGGAAUCUUCCGCAAUGGGCGAAAGCCUGACGGAGCAACGCCGCGUGAGUGAUGAAGGUCUUCGGAUCGUAAAACUCUGUUAUUAGGGAAGAACAAAUGUGUAAGUAACUAUGCACGUCUUGACGGUACCUAAGCAGAAAGCCACGGCUAACUACGU
RNAcentral lists this ribosomal RNA (496 nucleotides) under uncultured bacterium. RNAcentral's name for it is "partial 16S ribosomal RNA". It matches the Rfam family "Bacterial small subunit ribosomal RNA", at positions 28 to 506 of the family's 1533-position model. The record is from RNAcentral.